UCCGACGCGAGGCGAAAUCAGAAGGAAGACGGAGGCAAACACGCGGCCUGAGGGUCACGAACCCAAUCGGAGGCGGUCACAGCCGGACAAGUCUGUGAAACAAGACGAAGUCCCAUGCCUCCAAGGGCUGCGGCAGUAUUUUGGACCGGCGCAAGAGCGGGGAGUACGCACC
Molecule: non-coding RNA, 172 nt
Organism: Caldibacillus debilis
Lineage: Bacteria; Bacillati; Bacillota; Bacilli; Caryophanales; Bacillaceae
Source: Rfam